Molecule: ribosomal RNA, 1323 nt
Filed under: Leuconostoc citreum
Lineage: Bacteria; Bacillati; Bacillota; Bacilli; Lactobacillales; Lactobacillaceae
Description: bacterial SSU rRNA
Rfam family: Bacterial small subunit ribosomal RNA
Source: RNAcentral
ACGUGGAUAACCUGCCUCAAGGCUGGGGAUAACAUUUGGAAACAGAUGCUAAUACCGAAUAAAACUUAGUAUCGCAUGAUAUCAAGUUAAAAGGCGCUACGGCGUCACCUAGAGAUGGAUCCGCGGUGCAUUAGUUAGUUGGUGGGGUAAAGGCUUACCAAGACGAUGAUGCAUAGCCGAGUUGAGAGACUGAUCGGCCACAUUGGGACUGAGACACGGCCCAAACUCCUACGGGAGGCUGCAGUAGGGAAUCUUCCACAAUGGGCGCAAGCCUGAUGGAGCAACGCCGCGUGUGUGAUGAAGGCUUUCGGGUCGUAAAGCACUGUUGUAUGGGAAGAAAUGCUAAAAUAGGGAAUGAUUUUAGUUUGACGGUACCAUACCAGAAAGGGACGGCUAAAUACGUGCCAGCAGCCGCGGUAAUACGUAUGUCCCGAGCGUUAUCCGGAUUUAUUGGGCGUAAAGCGAGCGCAGACGGUUGAUUAAGUCUGAUGUGAAAGCCCGGAGCUCAACUCCGGAAUGGCAUUGGAAACUGGUUAACUUGAGUGUUGUAGAGGUAAGUGGAACUCCAUGUGUAGCGGUGGAAUGCGUAGAUAUAUGGAAGAACACCAGUGGCGAAGGCGGCUUACUGGACAACAACUGACGUUGAGGCUCGAAAGUGUGGGUAGCAAACAGGAUUAGAUACCCUGGUAGUCCACACCGUAAACGAUGAAUACUAGGUGUUAGGAGGUUUCCGCCUCUUAGUGCCGAAGCUAACGCAUUAAGUAUUCCGCCUGGGGAGUACGACCGCAAGGUUGAAACUCAAAGGAAUUGACGGGGACCCGCACAAGCGGUGGAGCAUGUGGUUUAAUUCGAAGCAACGCGAAGAACCUUACCAGGUCUUGACAUCCUUUGAAGCUUUUAGAGAUAGAAGUGUUCUCUUCGGAGACAAAGUGACAGGUGGUGCAUGGUCGUCGUCAGCUCGUGUCGUGAGAUGUUGGGUUAAGUCCCGCAACGAGCGCAACCCUUAUUGUUAGUUGCCAGCAUUCAGUUGGGCACUCUAGCGAGACUGCCGGUGACAAACCGGAGGAAGGCGGGGACGACGUCAGAUCAUCAUGCCCCUUAUGACCUGGGCUACACACGUGCUACAAUGGCGUAUACAACGAGUUGCCAACCUGCGAAGGUGAGCUAAUCUCUUAAAGUACGUCUCAGUUCGGACUGCAGUCUGCAACUCGACUGCACGAAGUCGGAAUCGCUAGUAAUCGCGGAUCAGCACGCCGCGGUGAAUACGUUCCCGGGUCUUGUACACACCGCCCGUCACACNCAUGGGAGUUUGUAAUGCCCAAA